GCAAGUCGAACGGUAACAGACGGAAGCUUGCUUCUGUGCUGACGAGUGGCGGACGGGUGAGUAAUACAUAGGAAUCUGCCCAGUAGUGGGGGAUAACGUGGAGAAAUCCACGCUAAUACCGCAUAUGUUCUACGGAACAAAGCAGGGGACCUUCGGGCCUUGCGCUAUUGGAUGAGCCUAUGUCGGAUUAGCUUGUUGGUGAGGUAAAAGCUCACCAAGGCGACGAUCAAUAGCUGUUCUUAGAGGAAGACC
Molecule: ribosomal RNA, 252 nt
Filed under: uncultured bacterium
Lineage: Bacteria
Description: partial 16S ribosomal RNA
Rfam family: Bacterial small subunit ribosomal RNA
Source: RNAcentral